Molecule: long non-coding RNA, 978 nt
Filed under: Salmo salar (Atlantic salmon)
Lineage: Eukaryota; Metazoa; Chordata; Actinopteri; Salmoniformes; Salmonidae
Description: lncRNA (ENSSSAG00000091095.1)
Source: RNAcentral
GUAGAGUUUAGUGGUAGUGUGGUAGAGUUCAGUGGUUGUGUGGUAGAGUUCAGUUGUAGAGUUCAGUGGUAGUGUGGUAGAGUUCAGUGGUAGUGGGGUAGAGUUUAGUGGUAGUGUGGUACAGUUCAGUGGUAGUAGGGUAGAGUUUAGUGGUAGUGUUUUACAGUACAGUGGUAUUUUGGUAGAGUUCAGUGGUAGUGUGGUAGAGUUUAGUUGUAGUGUGGUAGAGUUCAGUGGUAGUGUGAUAAAGUUUAGUGGUAGUGGGGUAGAGAUCAGUGGUAGUGUGGUAGAGUUCAGUGGUAGUGUGGUAGUGGAUAGAGUACAGUGGUAGUGGGGUAGAGAUCAGUGGUAGUGUGGUACAGUUCAGGGUUAGUGUGGUAGAGAUCAGCGGUAGUGUGGUAGAGUUCAGUGGUAGUGUGGUUGAUUUUAGUGGUACUGGGGUAGAGUUAAGUGGUAGUGGGUUAGUGUUUAGUGGUAGUGGGGUAGAUAUCAGUGGUAGUGUAGUAGAGAUCAGUGGUAGUGAGGUAGAGUUCAGUGGUAGUGUGGUAGAGAUCAGUGGUAGUGUGGUAGAGAUCAGUGGUAGUGUGGUAGAGAUCAGUGGUAGUGUGGUUGAUUUUAGUGGUACUGGGUUGAAUUCAGUGGUAGUGUGGUAGAGUUUAGUGGUAGUGGGGUAGAAUCAGUGGUAGUGUAGUAGAGUUCAGUGGUAGUGGGGUAGAGAUCUGUGGUAGAGUUUAGAGGUAUUUUGGUAGAGUUCAGUGAUGGUGUGUUUGAGUUCAAUUGUAGUGUGGUAGAGUUCAGUGGUAGUGUGGUGGAGUAUUUUGGUAGAGUUCAGUGAUGGUGUGUUUGAGUUCAAUUGUAGUGUGGUAGAGUUCAGUGGUAGUGUGGUGGAGUUCAGUGGUAGUGUGGUAGAGAUCAGUGGUAGUGUGGUUGAUUUUAGUGGUACUGGGUUGAAUUCAGUGGUAGUGUGGUAGAGUUUAG